AGCUCCGAGGUGUAACAUGUCGGCCUGCAAACCCGAAGUUGGCACUCUGCCCGGGGCUU
This 59-nucleotide transfer RNA is filed under the name Dryophiops rubescens. Its description in RNAcentral is "tRNA-Cys". Lineage: Eukaryota; Metazoa; Chordata; Lepidosauria; Squamata; Colubridae. The record is from RNAcentral.